GGUUGCCACAGAAAGUCUAGAAAUCCGUAGAGCAGAGAAUCGUAACCCACCCGUGUACUUGCUCUGUUUUUAGCCUCCACUGACCCUUCCCGAAGUUCCAUGACUUCUAGAUGUUUACCGUGCCAAAUCUAUAGAUAAGAGAAAAGCAUCGGAGGAGAAGAGGUUUUUCAUCGGAGGUGAUGUUUUAUUGAUGUUUGUAGUUUUGUGGUUUUGAAUCGGUGGAUUUUGUUGUGGUUGGGUUUCAAUUGAUCUUGGUUUUUAUGUUUUGUUGAGGUAAUGAUUUUGGUUUCUAUGUGUUUGGGUAUGGUUUUGUGGUUUUCAGUGGGUGGUUUUUGUUGAGGUUUGGAUUGUCAGUUUUUAUAGAUGUUUGGGUGUUUUGUUGUUUGAAUGGUGAUGAUUAUUUUGUUCUUAUUGUGUAGGUUUUAUGCAAAGGAGUAUUUGGCUUGUUCUUUUGGUGUUGUUAGUUGGUUUUACUUGAUUGUGCUGCUGUGAAUCAGGUUUGGAUUUCUCACUAGAACAACAUCACUGCAAGAAGGUUUUAGGAAUUGAUCCGUUGCCAUCUCACUAUGUGGACUUGCUGUUUACAGUGUUAUAAUUAUAGAUGAGUGACGAACUCAGUUUAUCAUGGGGCUUUGCAAUUCAGGUUUGAGCAUAUAAGCUUGGUGUCUAUUGGCUUGCUGGUGAAGUUUUCAGGGGCUUAAAAUUUAUCAGGGUCUUGAACUUGAUAUUGACCGGUUUGAUCUCCAGAAAGUAAAAUUACCGGCCAGGUUGGUAAACAUGAACAUGAAAUCCCUAUAUUUUGGUAACAGAUGGAUUCAAGUUGAGAACUUGAGAUCUAAACAUGGUCUUUGAUCUUUCAUUCUUUCAUAUAAUGCAGUUCAAGCUUGAUAUGCUGGACUGUUUGAAGAAAGGAUAUGUCUGCUGGAGCAAAGGACAACUUCCAAAACCAGUUUUGGGCUGGAAACCAAGAUAGUGGCAGCAUCCAUUCCUUUUAUGAUGUCGCUGCUAAUCCAGAUUCGUAUGGCAAAGGCACCAGAUUUUUGAGACAAGUAGAACAAUGUAUAAUGUAGUUUUACUAUAUCUAAUGUAUCUAUAACGUAAUUUCGAUGUAAAUUCAACCAUAUCAAUAGUAUACCCGCAGCACCGCGCGGGCAUUUUGCCUAAUAGGAAUAUAAAUGUGACAUUUGAAAUACCAUGCAACCACUAAAUCAAAGUCAAAAUAUGUUGUUGGAGCUA
This is a long non-coding RNA of Rosa rugosa (rugosa rose), 1236 nucleotides long. RefSeq lists it as uncharacterized. The record is from RefSeq and is a predicted model, not a curated record. NCBI's taxonomy places the organism in Eukaryota, Viridiplantae, Streptophyta, Magnoliopsida, Rosales, Rosaceae. The transcript has 7 exons.